CGGGCUCAAACGGUGGAGGAAUGACGGGGAAACCCGUCAGCCAGCAAUGGCCGCCACCGAGGUGCUGCAUGGUUGUCGUCAGCUCGUGCCGUGAGGUGUCGGCUUAAGUGCCAUAACGAGCGCAACCCCUACCGACAGUUGCUAACUGGUCAAGCAGAGGACUCUGUCGGGACUGCCGGCGCAAGCUGUGAGGAAGGCGGGGAUGACGUCAAAUCAGCACGGCCCUUACGUCCGGGGCGACACACGUGUUACAAUGGCAGGUACAGCGGGAAGCCAUAUGGCGACAUAGAGCGGAACCCGAAAACCUGUCUCAGUUCGGAUCGGAGUCUGCAACUCGACUCCGUGAAGCUGGAUUCGCUAGUAAUCGCGCAUCAGCCACGGCGCGGUGAAUACGUUCCCGGGCC
This 404-nucleotide ribosomal RNA is filed under the name uncultured bacterium. RNAcentral describes it as "bacterial SSU rRNA". It matches the Rfam family "Bacterial small subunit ribosomal RNA", at positions 976 to 1380 of the family's 1533-position model. The record is from RNAcentral.